UAAAAGCUUUCUCUAGAAGCAGAGAAGGGAGGAUGCAAGGGGCUUGCAGUGCUUGAUGAUAURUGCUGGGGAUGCCCUGAGCAGCAGCCAUGGCUGUGGAGUAGCUGGGCAGAACUGAGAGAAGGAAUCAAGUCCAGGCUGCUAAGGUUACACUUCUAGUGGAUGAAGAAAAGCCUGUGGAUAUAACCUACCUGACUUCAGCAAAUCCUUUAAUACUGUCUCCAGUGGCAUUCUCCUGGAAAAUGUGAUGGCUUAUGGCUUGGACUGGUGCACCCUUUGUUGGGUGAAAACUGCCGGGAUGGCUGGGCACAGACAGUGAUGAAAUGCUGUAUUUUAUAGAACACUAAYAAAAGGAUGAAAUUACAC
Long non-coding RNA from Malurus melanocephalus (red-backed fairy wren), 366 nucleotides. RefSeq lists it as uncharacterized. The record is from RefSeq and is a predicted model, not a curated record. The transcript has 3 exons. Lineage: Eukaryota; Metazoa; Chordata; Aves; Passeriformes; Maluridae.